This is a long non-coding RNA of Zonotrichia leucophrys gambelii, 868 nucleotides long. RefSeq lists it as uncharacterized. Lineage: Eukaryota; Metazoa; Chordata; Aves; Passeriformes; Passerellidae. The transcript is spliced from 2 exons. The record is from RefSeq and is a predicted model, not a curated record.
CUCCCAUCAUGCUCCGCGGCGCAUGUCCAGUGCUGUUCCAGCCGGGACUUCAUCUCCCGUCAUGCCCUGCGCCUCCACUGAGAGCCAUUUCAGCUGCGCCUCAAACUCCCAUGAUGCUCCGCGGCCCCGUUAAACUGCAUUAGACCUGCGCCUACAACUCCCAUCAAUCUCCACGCCGCUGAAAGCCCCAUCAGAGCCCCCCAAGGGCCCGCCCGGACCCCGAAGGGCCCCAAAUUCCCCUCCCUGACCUCCAAGGGUCCUCCUGGACCCCCAAGUGCUGCCCCGGACCCCGAACUAUCCCUCAGAAUCCCUGAGUGCCCCUCCAAGUGCCCACCUGGCUCCCGACACGGUCCAAAGAUCCCUCAUCUGCCUCACGACCACAGUCAAGGAUGGAGAUUGAAGCGCUCCCCAAGGACUGAGACUGAGACCCUUCAAAUUCUAACCCAGGGGUGCUGGCCUGACUGGAGCGGGACGUCUGCCAUGGGAAGCGGGAUGUUUCCCAUAGGAACCAGUCCUGAAACAACGGGCCCCGCUCACUGCUGGCACCGGUUUGUGCUGUUCAGACCUGGACUGUCUGUGCCUGUUCCCAAUGGAUUUAUUCUCCACUGUGCCCUCCAUGUGCCGUCCUGCUCCCUCCUGGUGGUAGAUUAUAAAAGAGCCCUGAGUUAACCAAAGACUUUGAGAUUCUCCCCGAUGUGACCAGAUGGAUCUAUUGGCCAGACCACGAGGAUUUCAUCUCCCUGUUGGUAGCAAUUCCCCCAACCCAACCCUCCUUUCUCUCUCUCUCUCUGUCCUUUAUCGCCUUUCUAAUCCUUCUGUUACAUUUGCUAUGGGCAUGCAAUAAAAGGUGCAUUUGUUUUGAUUGAAA